GUCUACGGCCAUGCCACCCUGUACAUGCCCGACCUCAUCUGAUCUCGGAAGCUAAGCAGGGUUGGGCCUGGUUAGUACUUGGAUGGGAGACCACCUAGGAAGACCAAGUGCUGUAGGCU
RNAcentral lists this ribosomal RNA (119 nucleotides) under Pteropus alecto (black flying fox). Lineage: Eukaryota; Metazoa; Chordata; Mammalia; Chiroptera; Pteropodidae. The record is from RNAcentral.